RNAcentral lists this ribosomal RNA (465 nucleotides) under Vreelandella stevensii. RNAcentral's name for it is "partial 16S ribosomal RNA". It matches the Rfam family "Bacterial small subunit ribosomal RNA", at positions 338 to 795 of the family's 1533-position model. Lineage: Bacteria; Pseudomonadati; Pseudomonadota; Gammaproteobacteria; Oceanospirillales; Halomonadaceae. The record is from RNAcentral.
CCUACGGGAGGCUGCAGUGGGGAAUAUUGGACAAUGGGGGGAACCCUGAUCCAGCCAUGCCGCGUGUGUGAAGAAGGCCCUCGGGUUGUAAAGCACUUUCAGUGAGGAAGAACGCCUGGUGGUUAAUACCCAUCAGGAAAGACAUCACUCACAGAAGAAGCCCCGGCUAACUCCGUGCCAGCAGCCGCGGUAAUACGGAGGGUGCGAGCGUUAAUCGGAAUUACUGGGCGUAAAGCGCGCGUAGGUGGCUUGAUAAGCCGGUUGUGAAAGCCCCGGGCUCAACCUGGGAACGGCAUCCGGAACUGUCAAGCUAGAGUGCAGAAGAGGAGAGUAGAAUUCCCGGUGUAGCGGUGAAAUGCGUAGAGAUCGGGAGGAAUACCAGUGGCGAAGGCGGCCUUCUGGACUGACACUGACACUGAGGUGCGAAAGCGUGGGUAGCAAACAGGAUUAGAUACCCUAGUAGUC